GACGAACGCUGGCGGCGUGCUUAACACAUGCAAGUCGAACGGAAAGGCCUGCUUUUCCUUGUGGUUUGCGGGUACUCGAGUGGCUAACGGGUGAGUAACACGUGAGUGAUCUGCCCCCAACUUGGGUAUAAGCCUGGGAGACUGGGUCUAAUUACCGAUAGGACUGCAGGGUGGUGCCUGUGGUGGAGGACGAUUUUCUAGUGGUUGGGGAUGAGCUCGCGGCCUAUCAGCUUGUUGGUGGGGUAAUGGACUACCAAGGCGGGGACGGGUAGCCGGACGGGGAGGGUCGACAGCCACAUUGGGACUGAGAUACGACCCAGACUCCUACGGGAGGCAGCAGUGGGGAAGAAUGCACAAUGGGCGUAAGCCUGAUGCAGCGACGCCGCGUGGGAGAUGUCGGCCUUCUGGUUGUAAGCUCCUUGCGACCACCAGGUAUCCACCUGGUUGGACGGGUGGUGACGGUAGUGGUAGAAGAAGCACCGGCUAACUACGUG
RNAcentral lists this ribosomal RNA (494 nucleotides) under uncultured bacterium. RNAcentral describes it as "partial 16S ribosomal RNA". It matches the Rfam family "Bacterial small subunit ribosomal RNA", at positions 28 to 507 of the family's 1533-position model. The record is from RNAcentral.